GACGAACGCUGGCGGCGUGCUUAACACAUGCAAGUCGAGCGGUAAGGCCCUUCGGGGUACACGAGCGGCGAACGGGUGAGUAACACGUGGGUGACCUGCCUCUAGCUCUGGGAUAAGCCCGGGAAGCUGGGUCUAAUACCGGAUAUGACUCCACGGCGCAUGUUGUGGGGUGGAAAGCCUUGUGUGGCUAGAGAUGGGCCCGCGGCCUAUCAGCUUGUUGGUGGGGUGAGGCCUACCAAGGCGACGACGGGUAGCCGGCUUGAGAGGGCGACCGGCCACACUGGGACUGAGACACGGCCCAGACUCCUACGGGAGGCAGCAGUGGGGGAUCUUGCGCAAUGGGCGAAAGCCUGACGCAGCGACGCCGCGUGAGGGAUGACGGCCUGGUGUAA
This 392-nucleotide ribosomal RNA is filed under the name uncultured bacterium. RNAcentral describes it as "bacterial SSU rRNA". It matches the Rfam family "Bacterial small subunit ribosomal RNA", at positions 28 to 428 of the family's 1533-position model. The record is from RNAcentral.